GUCCACGCCGUCGCCUGACCGUUCGAGGGUUUGAUCGCCAGCGCAGCCUCGCCCUGCCCAGACAGCUGGGCCCUAAGGGGAUAGCCAGCGCCUUUAGACUUAUCUUAAAUCGGGCAUCGGCAUCAACACUUAUUUCUGGGGUCCUCCAUGGAAAGCAGCUCCCGAAACAACACCCGCCCGGUCCGCCCUCCGCUGCACUGGAAAACCGCCCCUGGACGUUUCUGCCGCAGUGUCCCCCUCACGGAGUUCCGUUUGUCUGCUUGGUCGGUUGUUCUCUGGAGCCCCAGGACCCAGGCCGCUUGUAUGUGCCUGCGGCCGCACGGCCCCAACACGCGGACUUCGAGCGGUACCGGGAGACCCGCGCGGCCUCCUCGGAGUGGACAGUGAAGCAGCAGCUGGGCUAGGCAGUGGGGCUGGGCCUGCCCAUGGGGACCCGUCCACGUCUCCAGGACAUCAGCCUGAGCCUCUUCGCAGCCUCGUUUUCUGUUGACCGAGUUCUGCAAGGGGACGUAGAGGAACCACAGCGUUCUUGCGCUUGAGACCGCUGUGAUUUUCUGACAUUUUGGAGGCAGAAAUGCCUGGGGAAAGGCCCACAGAUGCAACUGUCAUCCCUAGUGCCAAAAGGGAACGGAAAGCGAUUACCCUUGACCUCAAAUUGGAAGUGUUACGACGAUUUGAAGCGGGUGAGAAGCUCAGUCAGAUCGCAAAGGCCUUAGAUCUUGCUAUCUCUACAGUGGCGACCAUUCGAGAUAGUAAAGAAAAAAUCAAAGCGAGUUCACAAAUAGCUACUCCUCUGAGAGCCUCUCGGUUGACUCGCCAUCGAAGUGCAGUGAUGGAGAGCAUGGAGCAGCUGCUGAGCUUGUGGCUGGAAGACCAGAGCCAGCCAAAUGCGACCUUGAGCGCCGCCAUCGUUCAGGAGAAGGCUGAGUUUGAUGACUUACAGCGUGAACAUGGCGAAGGUUCUCAAACGGAGAGGUUUCAUGCAAGUCAAGGGUGGCUUGUGAGAUUCAAGGAGUGCCACUGUUUGCCCCACUUCAAGAUGAACAGCGCAGCUCCCAGCAACAAGGACAUGUACACAGAAAUGCUGAAAAGCAUCAUCGAAGAAGGUGAGUACACCCCCCAGGUGUCUUUAACGUAGAUGAGACGAGACUUGAUUGGAAGAGAAUGCCCAAAGGAACGUUUAUUUCCGAGGAAGAGAAUGCUGAGCCAGGGUUUAAGUCAUCCAAAGAUCGCUUGAUGCUGCUGCUUGGUGGCAGUGCAGCUGGGGACUUUAAGUUGAAGCCCUUACUGGUGUACCGCUCAGAAACCCGCAAGGCUCUGAAGGGUUCUUGAAGCCCAGUUUGCCCGUGAUUUGGCGCUCCAACAGAAAGGCUUGGGUGACCAGGAGCAUCUUUCAUGAAUGGUUCACUUACUUUUUUUGCCGUUGAAAAAUACAGUGCCCAAAAUAAUCUCACCAACAAAGCACUGCUCAUACUAGACAGUGCGUCAUGCCACUCUGUAAAUUUGAGCGACCUUUCUGAUAACUAAGAGUAGAAUACCUUCAGGCCAGGCGCGGUGGCUCACGCCUGUAAUCCCAGCACUUUGGGAGGCCGAGACGGGCGGAUCACCUGAGGUCAGGAGUUCGAGACCAGCCUCAACAUGGAGAAACCCCGUCUCUAUUAAAAAUACAAAUUUAGCCGGGCGUGGUGGUGCAGGCCUGUAAUCCCAGCUACUCGGGAGGCUAAAGCAGGAGAAUUGCUUGAACCUGGGAGGCGGAGGUUGUGGUGAGCCGAGAUCGCGCCAUUGCACUCCAUCCUGGACAACAGGAGUGAAACUCCGUCUCAAAAAAAAAAAAGAAAAAAAAGAAGUACAAGAGUAUAAUACCUUCAUGACAGUACAGCUGACUCAAUCCGGACCACGUGUCAAGGUGUAAUCUCGACCUUGAAAGCUCAUUAUCUGAGAAGGACUUUUCAGCACAUCCUAGAAGCAGCGGAUGGUGAGGACACAGCUAUGAUCAGGGAAUUUUGGAGAAACUACAGCAUCAUGGAUGCUGUGGACAUGGCCAUCGCAUGGGAGGAGCUCAAACCAGCACUAAUGAACAGCAUGUGGAAGAAGAUUUGGCCUGAGUGUGUUCAGGCCCAGCGUUUUUCCCAGGCAGAUAACAUUGCACAGCUUCAAAAAAACAUUGUGACCCUUGCCAGAAAUGUGGCCUUUGAAGAGGUUGCUGAGGCUGCUGUGGACCAGUUGCUGCAGUCCCAUGAAGAAGAUCUCUCAAAUGAGGAACUGAUGCGGCUGGAACAGGAGCUGGCAGUGGGGGAGGAGGAGAGGGAAGAUGGUCCCUGGGCACUGUGGCAGCUAACCACAGGAAGACUGUCGGCAGCCCUCUCACAUUUUGAGGCUGGCUUGUAGGUCCUUGCUAGUAACAGCCCUAAUGAUGACUGGAAACUGAGAGGUUCCAGAGAAAUCAGUGUUGCAGUAAACUGCUAGCAGGAGCUGUACAAUGAGAAAAAGCGCCACUCAAAACAACUCUCUUAGGUCAUUUUUCAAUGUGUGUAACCAAAAGUUAAUCAGAAUAAAGCGGAAGCACCAUGAUGACCUCAACAGUGGAGGCCCAGCCAGGCCUCCCUGCUCUGUGGUGUUGGACAUCCCUGGAAACCUUGCUGUUGGUAUUUCCAUUUUGAUACUUGAGAGCAUCAAAUUUUGUCAUUAAAAUGUUAUUUAAAUAUAUGCUUUUAAAAGCUCA
Molecule: RNA transcript, 2722 nt
Organism: Homo sapiens (human)
Lineage: Eukaryota; Metazoa; Chordata; Mammalia; Primates; Hominidae
Gene: CENPBD1P
Gene name: CENPB DNA-binding domain containing 1, pseudogene
Exons: 1
Source: RefSeq, marked validated